This 772-nucleotide long non-coding RNA is filed under the name Bos taurus (domestic cattle). RNAcentral's name for it is "long non-coding RNA NONBTAT018748". The record is from RNAcentral. Lineage: Eukaryota; Metazoa; Chordata; Mammalia; Artiodactyla; Bovidae.
GUUCUGGGUAGAGGAAUCCCUGCCUGCAAACACAAGGAUGCAAAGAGCUUGCGUAUGUUGUUUCUUACUAUGUGUCAGGCCCCAUGUGAAGUAUUGGAGUACAGAGCUGAGUAAGCUACAGUCCAGCCCUCAGGGACCACACAAUCGGAGUGGAGGGGACCACCAAGGACAGGAGCCCAUCCCGGAAAUGGUUCUUGGCACCUCCUCCAGGACUCUCCCAUUGCUGAUCUCACUGCCCAGUUACUCCGUCUCCCAGACCACCCAGAAUCCUCAUGCCCAACUACAUGAGCAUUAUUCAUCUGGCCCAUUUUCAAAUGCCUGUUUUUUGACAGACCUCCAGAAUUAAUACGUAUGUAACAGUUUUCAGGCCACACUUGGAACUGCAGUGCCCUCCAGCCCCAGCUUGAAGUCUCUGCAUGUGGUCUUCUCUUGAUAUACUUUAUGGAAUUCAUUGGAAACUUUCUGUCAGUGUUCCUCCAGUUGUCUAGGGAUGCACAGAGGAGCAUUUCUGUGAAGAUGACGCUAGAAUGAAGAGGCCCCUCUGUGUGAUGAUGCUUGCAGGCUGAUUUGGGUGAGGACACCAGUUCUAUUGUCUAAGUAGCUUCAUGAUCCUGACCUUCUUACCUGAAUGUGGCCUUGACCUGAAGCUAGAGCAAGGUUCUUUAUUGUGAUGUGGCCCACGCCAAUAGUUCGGGGAAGCCUAUGGAUCUCUUCUCAGAAUGUUUUAAUGUUUGAUGUUUUAAGUGCAGAAAAUAAAACCUCACAGAAUUUC